RNAcentral lists this ribosomal RNA (791 nucleotides) under Domibacillus indicus. RNAcentral describes it as "bacterial SSU rRNA". It matches the Rfam family "Bacterial small subunit ribosomal RNA", at positions 89 to 866 of the family's 1533-position model. Lineage: Bacteria; Bacillati; Bacillota; Bacilli; Caryophanales; Bacillaceae. The record is from RNAcentral.
AGGUCAGCGGCGGACGGGUGAGUAACACGUGGGUAACCUGCCUAUAAGACUGGGAUAACUCCGGGAAACCGGGGCUAAUACCGGAUAACAUCAAAAGCUGCAUGGCUUUUGGUUGAAAGGCGGCUUCGGCUGUCACUUAUAGAUGGACCCGCGGCGCAUUAGCUAGUUGGUGGGGUAACGGCUCACCAAGGCCACGAUGCGUAGCCGACCUGAGAGGGUGAUCGGCCACACUGGGACUGAGACACGGCCCAGACUCCUACGGGAGGCAGCAGUAGGGAAUCUUCCGCAAUGGACGAAAGUCUGACGGAGCAACGCCGCGUGAGUGAAGAAGGUUUUCGGAUCGUAAAACUCUGUUGUCAGGGAAGAACAAGUAUCGGAGUAACUGCCGGUACCUUGACGGUACCUGACCAGAAAGCCACGGCUAACUACGUGCCAGCAGCCGCGGUAAUACGUAGGUGGCAAGCGUUGUCCGGAAUUAUUGGGCGUAAAGCGCGCGCAGGCGGCCUUUUAAGUCUGAUGUGAAAGCCCCCGGCUCAACCGGGGAGGGUCAUUGGAAACUGGAAGGCUUGAGUGCAGAAGAGAAGAGCGGAAUUCCACGUGUAGCGGUGAAAUGCGUAGAGAUGUGGAGGAACACCAGUGGCGAAGGCGGCUCUUUGGUCUGUAACUGACGCUGAGGCGCGAAAGCGUGGGGAGCGAACAGGAUUAGAUACCCUGGUAGUCCACGCCGUAAACGAUGAGUGCUAAGUGUUGGGGGGUUUCCGCCCCUCAGUGCUGCAGCUAACGCAUAAGCA